This 239-nucleotide ribosomal RNA is filed under the name Minutocellus polymorphus. RNAcentral's name for it is "partial Bacterial large subunit ribosomal RNA". It matches the Rfam family "Bacterial large subunit ribosomal RNA", at positions 847 to 1072 of the family's 2925-position model. Lineage: Eukaryota; Bacillariophyta; Thalassiosirophyceae; Cymatosirales; Cymatosiraceae. The record is from RNAcentral.
AGCUGGUUCUCCCCGAAAUGCGUUGAGGCGCAGCGAUUAACGAUUUUAAUAGAGCUAUCUAGGGGUAAAGCACUGUUUCGGUGCGGGCUGCGAGAGCGGUACCAAAUCGUAGCAAACUAAGAAUACUAAAUAUUGCUUUCCGUUAAUCAGUGAGACGGUGGGGGAUAAGCUUCAUCGUCGAGAGGGAAACAGCCCAGAUCACUAGCUAAGGCCCCUAAAUGAUUGCUAAGUGGCAAAGG